GGGUGCGUAGCUCAGUUUGGUUAGAGCAUCGGGCUUUUAACCUGGUGGUCGCAGGUUCGAGUCCUGUCGCACCUA
Molecule: transfer RNA, 75 nt
Filed under: bacterium TMED88
Lineage: Bacteria
Also listed under: 2 other names
Description: tRNA-Lys
Rfam family: tRNA
About the family: Transfer RNA (tRNA) molecules are approximately 80 nucleotides in length.
Source: RNAcentral